UGCCAGCCGCCGCGGUAAUACGGAGGGUGCAAGCGUUGUUCGGAAUUAUUGGGCGUAAAGCGCGCGUAGGCGGAUUAGUAAGUUAGGGGUGAAAUCCCGGGGCUCAACCCCGGAACUGCCCUUGAUACUGGUAGUCUUGAGUUCGAGAGAGGUGAGUGGAAUUCCGAGUGUAGAGGUGAAAUUCGUAGGUAUUCGGAGGAACACCAGUGGCGAAGGCGACCACCUGGUACAGUAUUGACGCUGAGAUGCGAAAGCGUGGGGAGCAAACAGGAUUAGAUA
RNAcentral lists this ribosomal RNA (279 nucleotides) under uncultured bacterium. Its description in RNAcentral is "partial 16S ribosomal RNA". It matches the Rfam family "Bacterial small subunit ribosomal RNA", at positions 506 to 784 of the family's 1533-position model. The record is from RNAcentral.